GACAGAGGGUGCAAACGUUGUUCGGAUUUACUGGGCGUAAAGCGCGUGUAGGCGGCUUGGCAAGUCGGAUGUGAAAGCCCACGGCUCAACCGUGGAAGCGCAUCCGAAACUGCUUCGCUCGAGUCUCGGAGAGGAAGGUGGAAUGCCUGGUGUAGAGGUGAAAUUCGUAGAUAUCAAGCAGAACACCUGCGGCGAAGGCGGCCUUCUGGACGAUGACUGACGCUGAGACGCGAAAGCGUGGGGAGCAAACAGG
RNAcentral lists this ribosomal RNA (253 nucleotides) under uncultured bacterium. RNAcentral describes it as "partial 16S ribosomal RNA". It matches the Rfam family "Bacterial small subunit ribosomal RNA", at positions 524 to 776 of the family's 1533-position model. The record is from RNAcentral.